This 22-nucleotide microRNA is filed under the name Gallus gallus (chicken). RNAcentral describes it as "microRNA Ros-gga". Lineage: Eukaryota; Metazoa; Chordata; Aves; Galliformes; Phasianidae. The record is from RNAcentral.
UACCCUGUAGAGCCGAAUUUGU